Molecule: ribosomal RNA, 262 nt
Filed under: uncultured archaeon
Lineage: Archaea
Description: partial 16S ribosomal RNA
Rfam family: Archaeal small subunit ribosomal RNA
Source: RNAcentral
AGGGUGUAAACGCUGCAGACUUGGUGUUGGAAGUCCUUUGGGGGCAUUCAGUGCCGGAGAGAAGUUGUUAAGUCUGCUACUUGGGGAGUACGUCCGCAAGGAUGAAACUUAAAGGAAUUGGCGGGGGGAGCACCGCAACGGGAGGAGCGUGCGGUUUAAUUGGACUCAACGCCGUAAAACUCACCAGGGAAGACUGUUACAUGAAAGCCGAGAUGAAGACUCUGCCAGAUUUUCAGAGAGGUGGUGCAUGGCGUCAGUGACU